RNAcentral lists this long non-coding RNA (629 nucleotides) under Mytilus galloprovincialis (Mediterranean mussel). The record is from RNAcentral. Lineage: Eukaryota; Metazoa; Mollusca; Bivalvia; Mytilida; Mytilidae.
UGUUAUUGUCAUUUCACUUUUUUUUUACAAAUGAUAUCGUAAUAACACGUGAAAUUUGUAUUUGACUAGAAACCUUAUAAUUUUUUCCCCAUUCUAUGAUUUUCCUCAAUCUUCAAAAUUCUGUCAGACGUUGUUAGCUUUGGAGACAUUUUAAAAGAUUCACGAACACUGACAUUGUGUUUGGUAGAACAAUCGGGAUAAAUACAAUAGCAAUUCAAACAGGUGCACCCAGAAUAGAAAUAUUACACUUUUACAAAUUUAUACUGAAUGAAGAAUUUCAUAGCUUAUCUUUUAUGACAAAAUUUUUUAAAAUCUAUCUAUUGGUAUACAAAUUGUCAAACAGAUAUACAUGUAUUCAUAAAACAUUUGGAACAGGACUACUGUAACAUAUGUAAGUUACUACUUACAAUCUUGAUGUGUGCAACAUAAUUCUAGUCCAAUUAAAUAUCGCUGUAAAGCAAAAAGAGCGACCAUUAGUCAUGUAAUUAUCAUAAUUUGGUAACAAAUACAGAAUUUAACAAUAAAUGUAGACCUGCAUGGUUUAUCAUAACACCAUUACAUGAAAAUGUAAAUAAUUGGAAGUUGACAAUCAUUUUAGCUCACCCCCUUUAUGUACUUUUUAUUCGCCG